This is a long non-coding RNA of Homo sapiens (human), 577 nucleotides long. Lineage: Eukaryota; Metazoa; Chordata; Mammalia; Primates; Hominidae. The record is from Ensembl.
AGAUGCAGGGCAGAGCCACGUGAGGCUCAGGAGGGUGUAAGGAAGCUGUUUUGACCCAAAACAAGAAGAGAAGACUGGAACCCAGACAAAAGGGCCUUGGUCCUCAUGGGAGAAAGGAACUGAGAUGUGACAUUGGCCCUUGGAGCAGAGGCCACAGGCCCUGCUCUGCCCUUGAGGAGCUGCCAGUGGACUGUCAAGGCGAUAAGUGCCAUGCACAAGAACAAGGAACUAUGGGGGCCCAGGAGAGAUGGCCACAGACCACAGACUGGUACCGAUACAUGGUCCCGGGGUUGGAGACCCCUGGGCUACUCCACAAACACUGAAUGACAUCGGCACAAACAGCAGGGUUUGGGGGCUCCUCUCCGAGGGCAAACAUCAGCAGAAGCUGCAAGCUGUCAUCCCUGACUUGACAUCCAGCUUGGUCGUCAUGAAGGUGCCAGACAUUUCUUGGUAGUGGAUUGUAAUCAUUUCCUGGGAUGACCAUGACAAAGUACCAGACUGUGUGACUUCCACAACAGAAAUAUAUUUUCUCACCAUUCUGAAGGCUGGACGUCUGAGAUCAGGGUGUCAACUUCUU